AUGAACGCUGGCGGCGUGCCUAAUACAUGCAAGUCGAGCGAACAGACGAGGAGCUUGCUCCUUUGACGUUAGCGGCGGACGGGUGAGUAACACGUGGAUAACCUACCUAUAAGACUGGGAUGACUUCGGGAAACCGGAGCUAAUACCGGAUAACAUGUUGAACCGCAUGGUUCAACAGUGAAAGACGGUCUUGCUGUCACUUAUAGAUGGAUCCGCGCCGCAUUAGCUAGUUGGUAAGGUAACGGCUUACCAAGGCAACGAUGCGUAGCCGACCUGAGAGGGUGAUCGGCCACACUGGAACUGAGACACGGUCCAGACUCCUACGGGAGGCAGCAGUAGGGAAUCUUCCGCAAUGGGCGAAAGCCUGACGGAGCAACGCCGCGUGAGUGAAGAAGGUCUUCGGAUCGUAAAACUCUGUUAUUAGGGAAGAACAAAUGUGUAAGUAACUAUGCACGUCUUGACGGUACCUAAUCAGAAAGCCACGGCUAACUACGUG
This 496-nucleotide ribosomal RNA is filed under the name uncultured bacterium. RNAcentral's name for it is "partial 16S ribosomal RNA". It matches the Rfam family "Bacterial small subunit ribosomal RNA", at positions 29 to 507 of the family's 1533-position model. The record is from RNAcentral.